GGGGUUCGACGGCCAGUGAUUAGAGUUUGAUCCUGGCUCAGGAUAAACGCUGGCGGCGCACAUAAGACAUGCAAGUCGAACGGAAGUCGUUACAAAUGAAGUGGAAUGACGAUUUAUCUGAAUGAAGCAGAAAUUGUAACAAUGGCUUUAGUGGCGGACUGGUGAGUAACACGUAAGCAACCUACCUAUUAGAGGGGAAUAACAAUGAGAAAUCAUUGCUAAUACCGCAUAAGCUUGUAGGACCGCAUGGUCUAGCAAGAAAAGGAGCAAUCCGCUAAUAGAUGGGCUUGCGGCUGAUUAGCUAGUUGGUUAGGUAAUGGCUGACCAAGGCAACGAUCAGUAGCCGGGCUGAGAGGCUCUUCGGCCACAUUGGGACUGAGAUACGGCCCAGACUCCUACGGGAGGCAGCAGUCGGGAAUAUUGCGCAAUGGAGGAAACUCUGACGCAGUGACGCCGCGUAUAGGAAGAAGGUUUUCGGAUUGUAAACUAUUUUAGACAGGGAAGAAAAAUGACAGUACCUGUAGAAUAAGCUCCGGCUAACUACGUGCCAGCAGCCGCGGUAAUACGUAGGGAGCAAGCGUUAUCCGGAAUUAUUGGGUGUAAAGGGUGCGUAGACGGGAAUACAAGUUGGUUGUGAAAUCCCCAGGCUUAACUUGGGAACUGCAACCAAAACUAUAUUUCUUGAGUGCAGGAGAGGAAAGCGGAAUUCCUAGUGUAGCGGUGAAAUGCGUAGAUAUUAUGAGGAACACCGGUGGCGAAAGCGGCUUUCUGGACUGUAACUGACGUUGAGGCACGAAAGUGUGGGGAGCAAACAGAUUAGAUACCCUGGUAGUCCACACUGUAAACGAUGGAUACUAGUGUAGGGAAUAAUAUAUUUUCUGUGCCGAAAGCAACGCAAUAGUAUCCCACCUGGGGAGUACGCCGCAGUGAACUCAAAGGAAUUGACGGGGCCGCACAGCAGUGAGUAUGUGUUUACUCGAGCACGCGAGACUACAGGCUGACAUAUACAGAUAGUAGAGAUAUAGCUCUCGAGUCUGUAUACAGUGUGCAUGUGUCGUCAGCUCUGUCUGGAUGUGGGUAGUCCGCACGAGGCAACCUAUUUUAGUGCAGCAGUAGAUGUACUUAAGACGCGUGGAAUCGAGAGUGACAGCCAUUCAUGGCCUAGUCUUGGGGUAAAACGUACUUACAUGCGUACCCUCA
This 1200-nucleotide ribosomal RNA is filed under the name uncultured bacterium. RNAcentral describes it as "bacterial SSU rRNA". It matches the Rfam family "Bacterial small subunit ribosomal RNA", at positions 1 to 1242 of the family's 1533-position model. The record is from RNAcentral.